CACAGAGGAAAGUUCUCUUGCUGGAGGUCACUCCUUGGGGACGAUAUUGUGAGCCUACAAUAUCAAGGUACUGAGGAAAGUUGACCGUCACUUUUUUCAGUAAGUGGUGUCAUAGAAGUGAAAUUCCAGUCAAUAUGGAAUUAGGACAAGGAUACUAUGGGUAGAAAAUCAAUAUCCAUAAAAAAUCUGGGUUUGUAAAGCCUCCUUUGGAAGACCUUGUGGAAGGAGUACCUGCUGACAUGUCUAUGCUCAUGCCCUCAGAGUCUGCAGAAUCCUGUGAUGUUCUUCACAUGAGGAGUCCAAACCUAUCCCCCUGGAAAAGUAAAGCUAGGUGUGCCUGUAAAUCUUAGGAGGAUUUUGGCUGAAAAUACAAUUCCAGCCAGCUCUGCAAAGUAUUUCAUCUGUAAUCUGCUGGCCUUAAUGAACGCUUUGUAUUCCAGCUGUCUCAUUCAAGCCUAACAUUCAAAAUGAGCUGUAUUAAUAAAAAAUGAACUAAAUUACUUAAUUCAGAAUUCAGAUAUUGAGCACAAUGAAAUUAAAAAAAAAAAAGAAAAACACCCAACCAAAUAUGCAGUUAACGACAUACAGCAUAUAUCUUUUCCUGCAAGCAUGAACUGCCAGGCUUCAGUGGAGCUAUUAGUGAGAGGGAGCAGCAAGUUUUAGUUAUAUUGCCAUUUCUGAGACUAUUGCAAAUUGAGGCAUCUCCACUGAAGUCAGGCACUUCAGAUCUGUAAGGUGAGACAGAGUUUUCUGCCACCUGCAUGAUUAAAACACGGCCACCCUGUGAGUAUUGAAGUCCUAAUCUAACACUGUUCUCAGCAGAGAUGCUGGCUAAUAUGACAGAUAUGGUGGUUUUUGAAAAGAAACACACAACAGCCAAUCACUAACUUGUUGACCAGGCUAAGGUGCAACCGCUGUGCAGAAGUGUAAGUAAGUUCUUCAACUAAAUGCCUCAGAAGUCUUUUUGAUUCAGUAUUUCUAAUAUAGAGAUUCCCUCUAUUGCCCAUAAAUUGGACUUUCUUGAUAUUUAAAUUGGAAAAUAAUCAUCCUUUUUUUCUAAAAUUAUGUUUGAGUUGUUUGAUAGCAAAAAUUUUAGUUAAGCUGUAAUGAAAUAAAUAUCCAUGGUACUAGAAUAAUGUAUUGAAAUAAAUUUGAUUAAAGUGCUGGAGAUAACAAACAAGAAUUGUACACUGUGCAAUAAAAAGAAUAUGAAGGUCCUUGGUAAAUUCAGAGGCAAGGGGCUAUGCGCAACAUCAGCUGGGACCAAGCCACAGCAAGCAAGCAUGCUUGUAUAUGGCAAGGCAUCUGCUUUAAACAAGAGUUUAGAAACCUUCUGAAAACUCUGUCAAGCUUGCAGCAUUCGUCAAAAGAAAAGUCCUAAACAAGAAAGUCAGCAGUCCUCCAAAUAUUCCCCAGAUUGACACCUGUAUCUGCUUCUGCAAGGGCACUGAACCAGAACAAAUAACAGCUCUUCGUAAAUAUAUAAAUGUAAUAUUUCAAAGGCUUGCCUAAAGCCAGAUGCCACUGUGAAAGUAAUACAGCUCUGCACAGAGGACCAUGGGGCCUAGAGAAUAUGCUGAAAUAUAGAGCUCAACCUAGUGAAGAGAAAGUUAAGAGGUGAUUUGAUCAUGGUCUAUAGAUAUAUACAAGGAGAGAAUAACUCUCAUGCCAGACAGAGUUUUGAUUUAACAGAAAAGCUGGAAGCUAGAUAAAGUGAAGUAAGACUAACUGGAAAUGAAAAUUUUUGCACAUUUUUCAUGCUGGUCAGGUAUUGGAAUGGAUUUUGAGGUAUGUGACAGUUUGCUCAAUUCUUGACUCUUUUAAAUCAGUUACCUCUCUUCUCUUGAGAUGUGGUGUCAUUCAAGUGCAUCUCUAUUAAGCAGAAGGUAGAACUCGUUUGGAGGAAUUUUAUGCUAUGACUUCAUGAACUUCAAACCAAGUGAUCAUAAAUGCUUCUCUCUGGCAACAACACCUAUAAAUAGAACUUCUGCCCUCGAUGAUGUCAAGAGCAAUUUUCACCCUGCUGUCUGUGGUAGGAGGGUUUUAUUUCUCAAAAGUGAGAAAUGCUCACGUUUGCAGUUUGUGUUCUUGGUUCCAAAUGGCUUAAUAUCACCUAACUACAUUUAGUGAUUUCUUAUCUAUUAAAUUAGAAAGUAACGCUGGUGGUGCUGCAACCACUACAGAAGCCUGCACACAUCACCCAUUAACACUGAUUCUUUUUAUGUGACAUUCACUCUACUCCUCUCACUCUCGUACCACGAAUGUCAAAAUAUUAGUGAAGAUUAGAGUGAUUCAUUGGGCCUUGUAUAAAUAACUUGUAAUCGUAUACAUUUAUCUCAGAACUUUUUAAUGUUACUAUUGAAAUUGAAGCAUGCGUAUUAGAUUAACUGAUUUUCUAGUAUAUUCACUUGAGACCCAGCUAAAUCUCUUGAGAUUAAAACUUUCCACUAGUUGGCUAGGUCUUGGGUUGUAUCUCACAGUUCAUUACAUUUGCAGAUCAGUGAGGUUUUAAUGUUGCUUAUUUAGAAUAAAAUAGCCCUUCAAGGCAAAAGUGAAUGCUUGAAAUAGAACAAAAUCACAGAAUCACAGAAUAGUAGGAGUUGGAUGGGACCACUAGAGAUCAUCUAGAUCUCUGGAGAUCAUCUGAUAAAGCAGAUCCUGUGGAGUAGAUUGCAGAGGAAAGUAUGAGCAAAUACUGUACUGUGAUAUAAGCACAUGGUAUAAAAAGCAAGCCUGGCAUACAGAUUACCACCAAUUUGUAUUAUUCAAAACAGAGCAGUCUGAAGAAUAUAAAUUAAGAAAUGGCUACAAAUAAAAGUUUGUAAGUAAUGAAUUGCUAUUAUAUGAAGUUAAAAGAAGAGAGUACUCAAGGAUUGACCUUUAGCAUUGAUAUUUGGGCAUCUUUUCUCAGUAAUUUCAAGAGAAUAUUUCUGGUCCAAUUAUUAACUAUAAUAAUAUUAAUGAUCCAUCAGUACAUUUUGAAUUGAAUUUUUUCAACCGACU
Molecule: long non-coding RNA, 3003 nt
Organism: Centrocercus urophasianus (Greater sage-grouse)
Lineage: Eukaryota; Metazoa; Chordata; Aves; Galliformes; Phasianidae
Exons: 3
Source: RefSeq, a predicted model, not a curated record